UCAGCCCUAAACACCAUAGACAAAGAAAGUCUACUUGCCAUAGGUUUUUCGAUGGACUUUGAUUUAUCGGUUGUGCCAUGUUGGCUAUAAUCGAUUUCGAGGUUUAUCUCCAUAUAAGAGAAUUUCACCUCCCUCUUGGCUCAUUGUUCUACUUCUCAAAUCUCCUUUAUUCUACUAAAACUCUACCUGGCUUAAGCAUUGAAAAGUGCCCCAUCAAAUACAUUCCGACAGCCUCUGAUUGCUUCUCAUUUUUACAAACCAAAUCUCAUAUCACAUGGUCCAAGUCCAGUCGAGCCGACCAAUCUCUAUUCGCUAAAUCACUAACUUCAUCAAAUUAGGUCUUGGGCACCAACAAUAAACACCAGAGAUGUAUACAUAAAAACAAAAAUCUUGCAUUAACAAUAGCAAUCUUUGGUUGCUUCUUAGGAUCUUGGUGACAGGCAACCAAAACAUGAGUAUCAAGUCUUAGUGAUGCACUGUAUGAGACUUAUAAGCAAUCAAAACCAACUGCUCGCCUCAUCCUCAUCC
This 528-nucleotide long non-coding RNA is filed under the name Elaeis guineensis (African oil palm). RNAcentral's name for it is "long non-coding RNA (EGUI_LNC060771)". The record is from RNAcentral. Lineage: Eukaryota; Viridiplantae; Streptophyta; Magnoliopsida; Arecales; Arecaceae.